GCAUUCCAACCCUGAUUCAGUUCAUAUCCGUCGACCAAGAGAGCCAAUCAUCACACUUCAUGGUCACCACUGAUAAACAAGGGAACAGAGACCCCCAAGCAUCUCUCAUCCUUUCUAUUGUCAAAUGGUCUGUAAUACCUGAACUUCAAGCUAGAGACGCAGUGUCCCAUGGUCCCACCAUAAUGUUGAAUGAUGGAAUCCUAAAAAGGGGUCAAACAGUUAGUGGGAUGGACUUCCACGUGAUCAGUUUGACAAGCUUGUGGACAAAAAAAAUGUUCAGAAUCUGAAUUUUUGGUUCGAUCUAUCUAUUUCCAUCCACCUUGCAAACUUAUGCACAUACAGCGCAAUUUACUCAAAUUUCAAAAUGUGGUGGACCUUUAUUAUGGGUGUGUCUAACAAACAGCCGUCUGAUUUUUAUUUGGACUUAGGUCGCUUUUUUAAGCCAAUUGCAAUGUGCCAGCUGUAGUACAUCUGUAUGUACGUUCCACAUCUCCCCGCUCUAACGGCCCCCAAAAACUUAAAUGGGUUUGGACUUUGAAAGUUGAAAAAACUGAACCGAACAUCAGGCUGUCUCUUUUUCACAUACAGAGGCUGGGAGAUGGAUGACACAUAGAGUAACAUAAAGAGUCCCCUCUUUAAAAAAGCUCUGACUCUUCUUCUAGCUCAAAUGUGAUGUAAAACAAAAAAAACAAAAAAAUACAGAAAAACAUGUACGUGAUGAGAAGAAAAUAGUAAAAGAAUGAAUACAAAAGUUACGAGGAAAAUGACCGAGGACAAAAAUAACGUGUUCUACAAGUAAAACAAAAUUACUUCAUCUGCUCAUUCUGUUUUUACUUCACCAAGACAAAGAAUGACUAAAGACUAAAGGGGUUUGCACUAAAGAUUAGUUAUCCAUCAGAAAAAUAUAUGAUCAAUAUCAAGAUAAUGAACAUGGAUGAAACUCAAGAAUGAUUUAAGAUAUUAGGGAAUGAUAACCGAAGGUUAAGGUAAAUAAAACAAAGAUAACUGAGGAGAGAAAGAAUGAGAGUGAAUAACAAAAAAAAAAAGAAGAACGGAUAAUCACCUUCAAUGUCUGAAGACUGAUGAGAACUAGCACACAAAUAAAAUCUGCAGAACUAGUGACUGAAUGACAAGUGAACUGACGGGGAUAUCUACAAAAUGUCUAUGAUUUCUUGCUUGUUCUCUGUGUUUUAUGUGUUUUUAGAGAGUUUGUUCACACUUUUUUCACUCAAUUUGGUUGCAGUGCGCCAACAAGCCCUUUGUAUCUAUAUUUCCGUGGAGUUUUCUCACUACUAGAACAUGGAAAAUGCAGCUAUCUAUCUCUAACAUUCAGUUUUCAUUAUUUUUUCCAGAGAAAAUGUUUCUGCAGCCGUAAAAGAUUUCUCUGGAAAAAAUGGAGAGUAUCUUGUUGCUUCCCUGAAUAAGUGAUAGUGCCUUGCUCUUUCCUGAAUAAAAGUAAUAGUACCUCGUUCUUUCCUGAAUAAUUAAGAGACACUCAAGACUGAGGGUUAUUUACUCAACAAAAGAAAGAAUAAACACCGGGUGUAUGCAGGAAACCAAAGACGGAGCAAACCUCUACUAAAAACAUGUUUGUAAUCAUCGCUCAGGAAUAAGAACACAUGCAUAUCACAAAACAAACUUGUGCCAUUGACAAAAGCUACUGACCAAAAAUCAGAGAAAAGAAACUGAAAUAACCGAAGAAAGGAAACUGAAGAAACUAAAGGGAGUAGGAAGAUAGACAUAUAAUGAAGGAUUGUCUGCUUAUUUAACUCAUGCUUGGCCCAAAAAGAGUAAAUAAAAGAAACUGAAAAGAUAACGAAGAAGAUAAUAUCAUCUGAAAGACUAAAUGAUGAGUAUAACUCUUGAAUGAUAGACAGAAUAGUGAUGUGUGCUCUCUGAACAUGGAUUGGUGAGUCAACUAUAAGAACAAUGACUGAUAAUAAUAAACAUUGAUAGACCAAUAGAGUAAGAACGCUCAUCUCAAGCUCAUUGCCGACCUUUGUCUUGCAUGUUACUAACACAUCCGCUCCAAUCUCAAGUCUUGUCCUCGUAAGAAACUUCUUCCAUCCAUUCUUGAAGAAGAUCAGACCAUCGGAUGCGGUAUUGUACUCGGUUCCAGUGAUGCUCUUUUUGCCCAAGCUUAAAUGAGUGAAGCAAUUACAGACUAAAAUAAGUGAAUCAACUACAAGACUGAUGUUGGGAUACUGAUCAACUAAAUUAAACAAGGCUGAAAUCAUAAUUCAAAUUGAUGAAAACUAAAACUGAACUAAAAGGUAAACUGUUGCGAUAGUUGAACUGAACUGAAUGUGAAAAAAUGAUCCAAUAAAAUGUACAUAGCUUAUAGAGAGAUAUGCGUGGGCAUGGGCGAGUGCUGAGUAAAAACUAUUGCCCAUAAAUGAACUGAAAAGUCGAAAAAUGAUGAACGGUUUGCCAAGAGUGAAAGUACUUGGCAUGGGCCGGUGAUGGUCGGCAGGCAUCCCUGUCAGACAUGAUGGUGGCAUGAAGGAUACAUUUUAGAAGGAAAAGAAGAUACCGGAAGAGUUGCGGCUGUCGGCGGUCUUCUUGGUGCUGACCCCAUGCAAAGUAAAUGAAUAAUACAGUACUGAAAUGACAAAUGUAGAUACACUGAAAACUGAUGGACCGAAGAAAAAUACACCAAAACACUGACAAAACUGAAUACUCACAAAGGAAAACACAAAAAGUGCUUUUAAUUGUAUGUUCCAGUUUUCCCAUCAACCAAUUGUAGGUUCCAGUUUACAAUUAUUAACUUACACGAAAACAAAGCGUGCUUUUAGUUUUUCACAUCAAAAAGAGCCGCACCUGCAGACCCACCAAAAGAGGCAGAAAGAUAGGGAGGUUACCCAUGAAAGCAUAGAUGCCACUCUCCUAAUCAUCUAAGGAUGAUCCAAAAACCGAAGAGAAGAUACCAGUGGUCAUACUGAAAAAAAAAGUAAAAGGUUUGAAAUAUUGAGAAAAACGAGUAACUAUAAUAGAAUGACUAACUAAAUAUGGGUUUUAGAGUGCAAACUAAGAAAAUAUAACUAAAUAAAAGACUGAACAAUGACUACUCAACUAAGCAAUACUGAAAACUUGAAAAUGAUACAAAAGUGAAAUAGAAAACUAAAAACUAAGAAAAAAUAUAUAUAAAUCCUAAAGACUAUUUGCAGUGCCAUCUUGGAACAUCUAAAAUGAGUAUCAAACACAUAACUGAAAACUAUAUUGAAUAUCAGUUCAAACGAUUAGUGAUAAAUCAAAUAUAUGACUGAAAACUAGAGUGAAUAUCUGAUCAAACUGAAUACCGAAGACGAUCUGCCAAACCCAAAAUGAGUAAAUCAACUACAUGAUUGAAAACUCGAACAAAACUGAAUACUGACAAACGACACACUGGAAACUGAAAAACUGAAGAAAAUGACACCUAACAAUGAUACUGACGAAACUGAAAAAAAUGACAUCUAACACUGAAACUACUGACGAAACUGAAUAAAAUGGCACUUAACAAUGAAACUACUGAAGAAACAAAUCUUCAUGUGAGGAAAACUGAGACUUGAGAGUUGAGACUAAGAAUAGGACUGAGUGGAACCAAUGAAUCACAAUGAAAUAAAGAUGACAUAUACUGAACAUAAAUACUAUAUGAUGGACUAAAAUAAUAAAUAAUCAGACUGAAUACUGAAGCGGUAAGGACUGAUCCAAAGAAGAACCAAGGACUGAUGAAAGGGUACUGAUAAGAACACAGAACAACACUGAAGAAUGAACAAUGACUUAAACUGAAGAGAGAGAAACUGUCGCAUCAGGAAGCUCACACGAGAUAAUAAAUGACUGGAAUAAAAAAUAACGAAACAUGACUGAUUUUACAAACAAAGAUGUAAUGAGAAAGACACUGAGAUACUGUAAAGACUAAGCUUUGACAGAUAAACAAUCAAGUAGUGAACAAUCAGGAAAGAUGGGAAACUGAGGACACUGAUUGACAAGUAAUCUAACGAAGACUGAUGAGUGAAUACUGAAGACUGAUAACUGGAACUGAGAAUUAGCUAACUGAGCGACACCGGCGGCGAGCUCUAUGACUAUCUACGCGUGUGGAUAGGUGCGUGGAAAAAAAUUCAGAGCGUUCUUGAUGAACUAAGCUAUCAAAAACUUUCCUGGCCAAAACAACCACCUAACUGAGCAACACCUGCGACGAGCUAAAUGACCGGCGAGUUGGCGACCAUGACGAUGCACUGAAUGAUAAACAGCAGGGACACAGGGGAAAUCACAUCGAGCAACACAUGGAAAAAUUGGGUAGAGAGAUAAAUAGCAGGGACACAGGGGAGAAAAUACCUUGCGCCAGAACGACGCCGGCGAUUACCACCUCCCCCACCAACAUGUGCUUGCUGGUAGCGAGCACGAUAGGAGAGCCCCGCUGAGCUCCUCUCCAGCGGCCGUCCCUGUGAAGAACACAUCCCGCAUUCAAGCGCACCUUGUCGCCAUCUUCGCCUAGCCGACCUGCCGCUAAUCACCGGCGAGGAGCCUCCUUCCCUCCGCCGUCUCCGCCACCCCUCCGCCAAUCCCCUCGUCAGCCAAGACAAAAACAGCCGCCCCCACCGACUGAAUAGAAAAUUCAAAGAAAAAAGAGACCCAGUACCUGUGAACCCGAAAAGCCAACGAUAAAAAGAACACGACAGGACGACCCGGAGGACAAACCAACGCGUAAAGAUUGGUGCAGAUCUGACGGACAGAAAAAUGAC
Molecule: long non-coding RNA, 4721 nt
Filed under: Hordeum vulgare
Lineage: Eukaryota; Viridiplantae; Streptophyta; Magnoliopsida; Poales; Poaceae
Description: long non-coding RNA (HVUL_LNC000457)
Source: RNAcentral